This 301-nucleotide ribosomal RNA is filed under the name uncultured bacterium. RNAcentral's name for it is "bacterial SSU rRNA". It matches the Rfam family "Bacterial small subunit ribosomal RNA", at positions 30 to 330 of the family's 1533-position model. The record is from RNAcentral.
AUUGAACGCUGGCGGCAUGCCUUACACAUGCAAGUCGAACGGCAGCACGGGAGCAAUCCUGGUGGCGAGUGGCGAACGGGUGAGUAACUAUAUCGGAACGUGCCCAGUCGUGGGGGAUAACGUAGCGAAAGCUACGCUAAUACCGCAUACGAUCUAUGGAUGAAAGCGGGGGAUCGCAAGACCUCGCGCGAUUGGAGCGGCCGAUAUCAGAUUAGGUAGUUGGUGGGGUAAAGCCUACCAAGCCUUCGAUCUGUAGCUGGUCUGAGAGGACGACCAGCCACACCUGGAACUGAGACACGGU